GAGGUUCUCACCGAAAGAUAAAAUAUUUGAACAUGAUCUUUCAAGAUGAACAGGAAGACCAAAUAAAAGCUAUUGUUUACGGUGAUGAAAUCUCCUCUUAUCAAGAUAUAUUCAAGCUGUUCCACACCUAUUUGAUAAGGGGUG
Lycium ferocissimum is the source of this 144-nucleotide long non-coding RNA. RefSeq lists it as uncharacterized. NCBI's taxonomy places the organism in Eukaryota, Viridiplantae, Streptophyta, Magnoliopsida, Solanales, Solanaceae. The transcript has 2 exons. The record is from RefSeq and is a predicted model, not a curated record.